This 492-nucleotide ribosomal RNA is filed under the name uncultured bacterium. RNAcentral describes it as "partial 16S ribosomal RNA". It matches the Rfam family "Bacterial small subunit ribosomal RNA", at positions 29 to 507 of the family's 1533-position model. The record is from RNAcentral.
AGUGAACGCUGGCGGUAGGCCUAACACAUGCAAGUCGAACGGCAGCACAGUAAGAGCUUGCUCUUACGGGUGGCGAGUGGCGGACGGGUGAGGAAUACAUCGGAAUCUACUUUUUCGUGGGGGAUAACGUAGGGAAACUUACGCUAAUACCGCAUACGACCUACGGGUGAAAGCAGGGGAUCUUCGGACCUUGCGCGAUUGAAUGCGCCGAUGUCGGAUUAGCUAGUUGGCGGGGUAAAGGCCCACCAAGGCGACGAUCCGUAGCUGGUCUGAGAGGAUGAUCAGCCACACUGGAACUGAGACACGGUCCAGACUCCGACGGGGGGCAGCAGUGGGGAGUAGUGGACAAUGGGAGCAAGCCUGAUCCAACCAUACCGCGUCAUUGAAGAAGGCCUUCGGGUUGGAAAGCCCUUUUGUUGGGAAAGAAUAGCAGCAGGUUAGUACCCCUCUGUUCUGGCGGUACCCAAAGAAUAGACACCGGCUAACUUCGUG